This 257-nucleotide ribosomal RNA is filed under the name Triticum aestivum (bread wheat). Its description in RNAcentral is "partial small subunit ribosomal RNA". Lineage: Eukaryota; Viridiplantae; Streptophyta; Magnoliopsida; Poales; Poaceae. The record is from RNAcentral.
CAUAUAACAACUAGCCACUCCUCGAAUAUAACUUGUGAAUAGGUCUAAAACCACAGGUCUUGUAGCUUGCCACCACGAGAGUAUACUACCUGAGGACUGAAGUAGUUUUGCACUCAACAAACGAGCCAGUGUACCAGAAACUCUUCUUUCUCCCUCAUGAUUUGAUGUCGGAAGGUACCGCAGACCCGUGACGCUAGGAUCCCGCCUCGGUGACGAACUGUAUUAGGUAGAGUGCCAUGCAGGUUUUUACGACGUCA